Molecule: long non-coding RNA, 1069 nt
Organism: Clupea harengus (Atlantic herring)
Lineage: Eukaryota; Metazoa; Chordata; Actinopteri; Clupeiformes; Clupeidae
Exons: 3
Source: RefSeq, a predicted model, not a curated record
AUAUUUUGAAAUCGUCGAGGUUUACAACAGAAAACAAAACAGUCAGUUACAAAAACUGAUUAUGACGCAACCAAUUUAAAAAAAUCAGCUUUGUCAUAGAUGGAACAAACCGCAUUCAAUCGUGAGAAUAUGUAACUUUGAUGAUAGGAUGUGACACUGAAAGGCUACAAUGAUUCAUCAUAACAAAAUAGGAGUUGUGGAGGUCAAACACGAGGACUCAUUUUUUGAGCAUGGGAAAACAUCCAUGUUUAUGACAUUGCUGCUCUCCGCCUCUGUGAGAAAGAAAACACUGUUCUACAUUUUGUCGCUGCUCCUCUGCCUAUUCCAGAUGGCUUUGUUGGCAUCAGAUAUCACGUUUCACUUUAAUUUAAAAAACCAUCAUUUCCCUACUUACAGCCACACAGAGGCUAUACUGGUAAAUGUUCUGCACAACCUCAAUGCAACCUUGUCGACUGGAUUUCAAGAUUUUAUGAUCAUUUAAACAUGUACCCUGUCUCACUAGAUACAUUAUUCUUUUUCAAGACUAUCAUCUAUUUACCAUUCUCGUGUAGACAUAAUCAUAAUGUAAGCAGUCUUUCCACCUUACAGCUUUUCCAGGUUGUGAAUUUCUACUGGGCGGUACUGGCCACAACGUACUCCCUUCAGGCAGGCAAUAAGAGAAUGGGCUACUACUCUUUGGCAUCAGUCUGUGAGUUUCACAUUCAAAGUCUUUUUUUGUUUGUUGGUAUUGCUUACUUUUUUUUUGUAAAGCACAGUUUUCCACCAUUUGUAACAAGGUUCGGAAGUAAUGUCCUAACCAUUUUAAUCUCCAUCCUCUAGUUUUCAACCUCAUUGUUUUUGCCUCCCGGUGCGCUUAUGAGUUCAUGAUGUUGCAGUUCAGAGCAGAGGAAUUUUGAGGUGAUCUGGCUGAGGGGAGUGUGGAUCAGAAGAGCUUAUCUGGCCACCUCUCUGAAUCAGUGCGAACCUACAUCAUGACAAUCCACAGUGACCUGAACAGUCUAAGCCCAACACACAGUACACCUUUUCCAUACCCAGACCACAAAGUUCAAAUAAAUGUCACUGGAUUGUU